Molecule: ribosomal RNA, 465 nt
Filed under: Vreelandella stevensii
Lineage: Bacteria; Pseudomonadati; Pseudomonadota; Gammaproteobacteria; Oceanospirillales; Halomonadaceae
Description: partial 16S ribosomal RNA
Rfam family: Bacterial small subunit ribosomal RNA
Source: RNAcentral
CCUACGGGCGGCUGCAGUGGGGAAUAUUGGACAAUGGGCGAAAGCCUGAUCCAGCCAUGCCGCGUGUGUGAAGAAGGCCUUCGGGUUGUAAAGCACUUUCAGUGGGGAAGAAAGCCUUGGGGCUAAUACCCUCGAGGAAGGACAUCACCCACAGAAGAAGCACCGGCUAACUCCGUGCCAGCAGCCGCGGUAAUACGGAGGGUGCGAGCGUUAAUCGGAAUUACUGGGCGUAAAGCGCGCGUAGGCGGUCUGAUAAGCCGGUUGUGAAAGCCCCGGGCUCAACCUGGGAACGGCAUCCGGAACUGUCAGGCUAGAGUGCAGGAGAGGAAGGUAGAAUUCCCGGUGUAGCGGUGAAAUGCGUAGAGAUCGGGAGGAAUACCAGUGGCGAAGGCGGCCUUCUGGACUGACACUGACGCUGAGGUGCGAAAGCGUGGGUAGCAAACAGGAUUGGAUACCCCAGUAGUC